AACGAACGCUGGCGGCAUGCCUAACACAUGCAAGUCGAACGAGACCUUCGGGUCUAGUGGCGCACGGGUGAGUAACGCGUGGGAACAUACCCUUUGGUUCGGAAUAACUCAGGGAAACUUGAGCUAAUACCGGAUACGUCCGUAAGGAGAAAGAUUUAUCGCCAAAGGAUUGGCCCGCGUCCGAUUAGCUAGUUGGUGAGGUAACGGCUCACCAAGGCUACGAUCGGUAGCUGGUCUGAGAGGAUGAUCAGCCACAUUGGGACUGAGACACGGCCCAAACUCCUACGGGAGGCAGCAGUGGGGAAGUAUUGGACAAUA
This 318-nucleotide ribosomal RNA is filed under the name uncultured bacterium. RNAcentral describes it as "bacterial SSU rRNA". It matches the Rfam family "Bacterial small subunit ribosomal RNA", at positions 29 to 373 of the family's 1533-position model. The record is from RNAcentral.